RNAcentral lists this ribosomal RNA (624 nucleotides) under uncultured fungus. RNAcentral describes it as "eukaryotic LSU rRNA". The stretch from base 253 to 403 matches the Rfam family "5.8S ribosomal RNA". Lineage: Eukaryota; Fungi. The record is from RNAcentral.
ACGCGGUCGCCCUUCUUGGUCAUUUAGAGGAAGUAAAAGUCGUAACAAGUUUCCGUAGGUGAACCUGCGGAAGGAUCAUUACCGAGUUAGGGUCUUAUGGCCCGAUCUCCAACCCUUUGUUUACUAUACCAUGUUGCUUUGGUGGGCCGCUUUUCGGGGCCGCCGGGGGCUUGUACCCCUGGCCAGUGCUCGCCAGAGCCUUAUUAAAUUCUUUCAUAAUUAUGUUGUCUGAGUAUAAAUAUAAACGUUUAAAACUUUCAACAACGGAUCUCUUGGUUCUGGCAUCGAUGAAGACGCAGCGAAAUGUGAUAAGUAAUGCGAAUUGCAGAAUUCAGUGAGUCAUGAAUCUUUGAACGCAUAUUGCGCCCUUUGGUAUUCCGAAGGGCAUGCCUUUCGAGCGUCAUUAUCAACCAUCAAGCCUGGCUUGUCGUUGGACCCCUUCUGCUGAAAUAUACGGCAGGUCCGAAAGAUAAUGACGGCGUCGUGUUUGCCCUAGAUGCAACGAGCUUUUUCAUAGCACGCAUUGAAGUGGUCGGCCGCCCGGUCUUUAACCAUCAUUUUCUAAGGUUGACCUCGGAUCAGGUAGGAUACCCGCUGAACUUAAGCAUAUCAAUAAGCGGAGGA